AAUCACAUAGUUUAAUAAAAAUAGUUGCUUUGCAUGUAACAGAUAUUGCUUGUAUUUGUGGUUA
RNAcentral lists this transfer RNA (64 nucleotides) under Polylabris halichoeres. RNAcentral describes it as "tRNA-Ala". Lineage: Eukaryota; Metazoa; Platyhelminthes; Monogenea; Mazocraeidea; Microcotylidae. The record is from RNAcentral.